GACAUUGGUGAGCUCUCCUGGAUUGAGGGAGAAUUUGACGAGCAGAAUGAAGCACAAGAAUAUGUCGUGCGAUGGAGGGAACGAAAUGGAAAAGUUAAACUUUGUUCGGCCAAAAUAAUGGCAACCGGAGAGGAUAGGAGAGAACUGGUCGAAGUGAGGAAGAAAGCGGAGUUAGGCCUUCUGGAUGUGGCAGUCACACCUACAUCUAAAUGUGGAAAAGGCCAAAGGCGAAAAAUUCCAAAUUCAAAGAACGUGCCAUCUGAGGAUGGAAAUGAUGAGCAUGUGGCCGAGCCGAAGACCAAGUCAAAACGCAAGCAGGCAACAACUGCACUAAGUGCCAGCAAAAGUAU
This is a long non-coding RNA of Gadus morhua (Atlantic cod), 350 nucleotides long. RefSeq lists it as uncharacterized. Lineage: Eukaryota; Metazoa; Chordata; Actinopteri; Gadiformes; Gadidae. The transcript has 3 exons. The record is from RefSeq and is a predicted model, not a curated record.